This 566-nucleotide long non-coding RNA is filed under the name Phoenix dactylifera (date palm). RNAcentral describes it as "long non-coding RNA (PDAC_LNC021592)". The record is from RNAcentral. Lineage: Eukaryota; Viridiplantae; Streptophyta; Magnoliopsida; Arecales; Arecaceae.
AUCUACUCAAGUGUAGCCAAGUCUAGCAUAUAUAUAUAUAUAUAUAUGAAUGCUUUCUGCAAGGGUGGGAACAUGAUUUUUCAUUAGGGGUUUUUGUCAUAUAUGAUAUUUUUAUUGCCACAAAGAAUUAGAAAUAAUUAAAAUAGAAGAACUGAUAUUCAGGUUCCAGAUUAACCAUGGGAGACCAAUUUUGAAUUCAAAUGGUCAAGCGUUAUCAUGUAGUAUAGAUUAACAGUAAAUGAAUUCUAUAUUGUCUGCCUUUUAUAUUUAAUUACAAUAUAGCAUCAAUUUGAAUAAUUUCAAUGAUCUACACAAGUUUCAGUAAUUUAAUAAUCAAGAAGAUCUUCAAAUUCUGAUAUUUCACUUGAAGGCUUAGUUGACAUUAUGCACAAUGACAAAUGAUUGAACAUAAUAAUGUCAUUAAGUUAAAAAGGGGAAGAUGAAGAAUAGAGGGGUCACCAUAAUCCUUUGUUUCUUCCUUAGAUUCUUCCAAUUAGAGGGAACAGAAUUGGAAAAAGGUGCAAGGAUUUCGGCAUAGAUUGUGCUAUAGUAUAUUGCAGUAGACA